AGAGCGAACGCUGGCGGCAGGCCUAAUACAUGCAAGUCGAACGGAUCCUUCGGGAUUAGUGGCGGACGGGUGAGUAACACGUGGGAACGUACCCUUUGGUUCGGAACAACUCAGGGAAACUUGAGCUAAUACCGAAUGUGCCCUUCGGGGAAAAGAUUUAUCGCCAUUGGAGCGGCCCGCGUCUGAUUAGCUAGUUGGUAGGGUAAAGGCCUACCAAGGCUACGAUCAGUAGCUGGUCUGAGAGGAUGAUCAGCCACACUGGGACUGAGACACGGCCCAGACUCCUACGGGAGGCAGCAGUGGGGAAUUUUCGUCAAUGGGGGCAACCCUGAACGAGCAACGCCGCGUGCAGGAAGAAGGUUUUCGGAUCGUAAACUGCUUUUCUCGGGGAAGAGAAUGGACGGUACCCGAGGAAUCAGCCCCGGCUAACUACGUGCCAGCAGCCGC
RNAcentral lists this ribosomal RNA (447 nucleotides) under uncultured bacterium. Its description in RNAcentral is "SSU rRNA". It matches the Rfam family "Bacterial small subunit ribosomal RNA", at positions 26 to 518 of the family's 1533-position model. The record is from RNAcentral.